This 102-nucleotide ribosomal RNA is filed under the name uncultured bacterium. RNAcentral describes it as "partial 16S ribosomal RNA". It matches the Rfam family "Bacterial small subunit ribosomal RNA", at positions 1384 to 1482 of the family's 1533-position model. The record is from RNAcentral.
UACACACCGCCCGUCACACCAUGGAAGCAAGCAACACCCGAAGCCGAUGGCCUAACCCCUUGUGGGAGGGAGCCGUCGAAGGUGGGGCUCGUGACUGGGGUG